Pneumocystis sp. 'macacae' is the source of this 94-nucleotide non-coding RNA. The record is from the annotation of a GenBank genome assembly. NCBI's taxonomy places the organism in Eukaryota, Fungi, Ascomycota, Pneumocystomycetes, Pneumocystales, Pneumocystaceae.
GGCCGCGUGGCGCAAUGGUUUAGCGUAUCGGAAUCCGGCAGUGUUUUCACUUGUAGUUAUCCGGAGGUUGUGGGUUCGAGUCCCAUCGUGGUCG